RNAcentral lists this ribosomal RNA (1914 nucleotides) under human gut metagenome. RNAcentral's name for it is "bacterial LSU rRNA". It matches the Rfam family "Bacterial large subunit ribosomal RNA", at positions 261 to 2171 of the family's 2925-position model. The record is from RNAcentral.
GGAAAAGCCCAAACCGUUAUUGUUUCGGCAUUAACGGGGUAGUAGGACUGCAAGCUUGAUGAAAUAAAUGAAAUGGAACACCUUGGAAAAUGUGAUCACAGAGGGUGAUAAUCCCGUACAUGCAAGUUUAUGAAUCAUAGCAGUAUCCUGAGUAAGUCGGGACACGUGUAAUCCUGACCGAAUCCGCCGGGACCAUCCGGCAAGGCUAAAUACUCCUGAGAGACCGAUAGUGAACCAGUACCGUGAGGGAAAGGUGAAAAGCACUUCGAACAGAAGAGUGAAAUAGUCCCUGAACCCAUACGCCUACAAGCUGUCGGAGCCGCUUCGUGCGGUGACGGCGUGCCUUUUGCAUAAUGAGCCUACGAGUUACUCAUCACCAGCGAGGUUAAGUACUUCAGGUACGUAAGCCGAAGCGAAAGCGAGUCUGAAUAGGGCGUCAAGUUGGUGGUGGUAGACGCGAAACCUUAGUGAUCUACCCAUGGGCAGGGUGAAGGUUUGGUAACACAAACUGGAGGCCCGAACCGGUAAACGUUGAAAAGUUUUCGGAUGACCUGUGGGUAGGGGUGAAAGGCCAAUCAAACUGGGAAAUAGCUCGUACUCUCCGAAAUGCAUUUAGGUGCAGCCUCUGUUGUUUUGUUCUAGAGGUAGAGCUACUGAUUGGAUGCGAGGGCUUCACCGCCUAUCAAAUCCGGCCAAACUCCGAAUGCUAGAACAUGAAGACAGGGAGUGAGCCAGCGGGUGCUAAGGUCCGUUGACGAAAGAGGGAGAACUCAGACCAUCAGCUAAGGUCCCCAAUUGUAUGCUAAGUUGGAAUUAAAACGGGGUGGGACUGCUUAGACAGCUAGGAUGUUGGCUUGGAAGCAGCCAUUCAUUUAAAGAGUGCGUAACAGCUCACUAGUCGAGCGGUCCUGCAUGGAUAAUACGCGGGCAUAAGCAUAUAACCGAAGCUAUGGGAUUGUAGAUGAUACAAUCGGUAGGAGAGCAUUCCAUUCAGCGUAGAAGCAGUAUCGUGAGGUAUUGUGGAGCGGAUGGAAAAGCAAAUGUAGGCAUAAGUAACGAUAAUGCGGGUGAGAACCCCGCACGCCGAAAGAUCAAGGAUUCCCCGGCAAUGUCAAUCAUCCGGGGGUAAGUCGGAUCCUAAGGGUAAGCCGAGUGGCGAUCCCGAUGGCAAACAGGUUAAUAUUCCUGUACUGAUCAUAACUGCGAUGCAGCGACGCAGAGGUGACACUGCUGCGUACUGACGGAAUAGUACGUUGAAACCCGUAUUCUUUGAUACCGGUAGUGAAGCACGCCGGUAGAGAUGAAAGGUGAUAGUACCGCAAUGCUUCGGUUGCGCGGAUAACGCAGGUAAGCUGACUGCCAAGAAAACCUGCUAAGCUUCAGGUAAUGAUCAUCCGUACUGUAAACGGACACACGUGAUCAGGUAGAAAAUACUAAGGCGCUCGAGAGAUUCAUGGUUAAGGAACUAGGCAAAAUGGUCCUGUAACUUCGGGAUAAAGGACGCUCUUGUGAAAGAGCCGCAGAUAAUAGGCCCAGGCGACUGUUUACCAAAAACACAUGGCUAUGCUAAUUCGCAAGAAGAUGUAUAUGGCCUGACACCUGCCCGGUGCCGGAAGGUUAAGAGGAGAGCUCAGAGGCAACUCGAAGGUUUGAAUUGAAGCCCCGGUAAACGGCGGCCGUAACUAUAACGGUCCUAAGGUAGCGAAAUUCCUUGUCGGGUAAGUUCCGACCUGCACGAAUGGUGUAACGAUCUGGGUACUGUCUCAACCAUGAGCUCGGUGAAAUUGUAGUUCCGGUGAAGAUGCCGGAUACCCGCAACGGGACGGAAAGACCCCGUGAACCUUUACUGCAGCUUUGCAUUGAUUUUGGGUAACAGAUGUGUAGGAUAGGUCGGAGGCUUUGAUGCUGGUCGUC